This 117-nucleotide non-coding RNA is filed under the name Ligilactobacillus apodemi. RNAcentral's name for it is "Lactobacillus apodemi FMN sequence". It matches the Rfam family "FMN riboswitch aptamer (RFN element)". Rfam says of the family: The RFN element is a highly conserved domain that is found frequently in the 5'-untranslated regions of prokaryotic mRNAs that encode for flavin mononucleotide (FMN) biosynthesis and transport proteins. Lineage: Bacteria; Bacillati; Bacillota; Bacilli; Lactobacillales; Lactobacillaceae. The record is from RNAcentral. RNAcentral also lists the same sequence under 1 other name.
GUUUAUCUUCAGGGCAGGGUGUAAAUCCCGACCGGCGGUGAUAGUCCGCGACUCCUCUUAGACCGAAUCGGUGAAAUUCCGAUACCGACAGUAUAGUCUGGAUGAAAGAAGAUAGGU